CCUACGGGGUGCACCAGUGGGGAAUUUUCCGCAAUGGGCGAAAGCCUGACGGAGCAAUGCCGCGUGUGUGAAGAAGGUCUUCGGAUUGUAAAGCACUUUCGACGGGGACGAUGAUGACGGUACCCGUAGAAGAAGCCCCGGCUAACUUCGUGCCAGCAGCCGCGGUAAUACGAAGGGGGCUAGCGUUGCUCGGAAUGACUGGGCGUAAAGGGCGCGUAGGCGGUUUAUGCAGUCAGAUGUGAAAUCCCCGGGCUUAACCUGGGAACUGCAUUUGAGACGCAUAGACUAGAGGUCGAGAGAGGGUUGUGGAAUUCCCAGUGUAGAGGUGAAAUUCGUAGAUAUUGGGAAGAACACCGGUGGCGAAGGCGGCAACCUGGCUCGAUACUGACACUGAGAGACGAAAGCUAGGGGAGCGAAUGGGAUUAGAUACCCUAGUAGUC
This 440-nucleotide ribosomal RNA is filed under the name uncultured bacterium. Its description in RNAcentral is "bacterial SSU rRNA". It matches the Rfam family "Bacterial small subunit ribosomal RNA", at positions 338 to 795 of the family's 1533-position model. The record is from RNAcentral.